Long non-coding RNA from Oreochromis niloticus (Nile tilapia), 3038 nucleotides. RefSeq lists it as uncharacterized. The record is from RefSeq and is a predicted model, not a curated record. The transcript is spliced from 4 exons. Lineage: Eukaryota; Metazoa; Chordata; Actinopteri; Cichliformes; Cichlidae.
CUACAAGUGUGACAUCAGCGCUCAUGGAGAGUCUCCAUCCAGCUGGAUCACUGUCACAGAGAGAAACACCACCACACCUCCUUCUACAUCCACACCUCCUCCUGUUUCCACCUCCAUCACUCGUCCUCCUGUUCUCUAUGUGUUGUAUUGUGUUGGAUCAGUCUGUGUUUUGGUUCUACUGGUGUUACUGGUUCUGCUGGUGAGACGAUGUGUUCGCAGGAAACUUGAAGGUGAGACUUCCUGAAUUUACAAGUGUAUAUAUGUUCCAUUCUGUAUACAUGCAUAGUAUAAUUGUUUUUUUAUAUAGCAUUUUAAAAACAACACGAGACCAACCAAAGUGUACAGCAGAAAUAAAAAAGUACAUUAAUAAAUAAAAUAAAUAAAUAGCAAUAAAACAACAGUGUCACUUACCCACGGAGUCAAAAGCCAGCAAAUAGAAAAAUGGUUUUUAACCUGGAUUUAAAGACCACCACUAAAACAGAUGUGAAAAGGGAGAUCAUUCCAAAGCUUAGAGAAGCAACAACAUCAAGAACAGAUUUACAUAGUCCAUGUCACGGCCGAGGCCGAACCCGACAACCAGACUUAAAUGCAGAUCAUACACAGAGCCAAGGAUGAGUGUAGUUAACAGAACUUUAUUUUCUAGGGCUUGACAAAUACUGUGUCCUAUGAGAAAUAACAUGGGACUUCAAUUACGGUGGUAAACAGGAGUGAUGCUAAACUCUGAGAAAUAGUAGAUUUACAAAAGCACCAGAGGAUUGUGACGAGGGGAUAUGUACAGGGGUACGGGGCAGGAAACAUGACCUGGAGGCUCUGAACAUUUGGCAGGUGGAGGAAUGGUAAGGAAGGGGUGAGUGGUCCGAGUGAGGAGUUUUGGCCCAAUUGAGUACUGUGACAGGAGGGCAAGCAGGUGAGUGAACACAAAGAGCUGCCAAGCACAAACCAGCUUCAGGAUAAAAGUGUGUAUUGCCAGGAGAUGGAGGUGGCAGACAACAGGAUAGUGUGGUUAGCUGAAGACUUGGCGAAGAGGAAGAGGACUGGUGAGCGCUGGUCUUAAGUACUGGCAGCUCAAUUGGCAGCAGGUGUGGAGACAUGCAGGAAAGCAGCAACUCUGCCCAGGGGUGGAACUGUGACUGAGUGGAAAAACCCAAGGACUCACCCAGACCACAACAGUCCAGAUGAAAGAGUAAUCCAUCUGAGGUGGACAACUUAGAACGACUGGAUACAAGUUGAUCGAACAGUGUAGAAAAAUGCUCUGCUGUAUUUGAGCCGAAGCCUCAACAGCGUUGGACAGGUGCAACCUGUUUAAGAGCAGCACCAAGAGCAACAUGGAGCAAACCAAGUGCUUUUAAAUGUCCCAAAGACAUUUUAUAAAUCCAGAGGAGCGAGUGUCUGGAGGUCAGGCAGGCUCCAUCCCUUGCUGUUUUCAAAACUCGUUUAAAAACAUCUCUUCUCCUUGGGUUUUAACCUAAUUUGGGUCGUGAUCUGUGUUAAACAUUUUACCCUUUGUAUAUUAUAUUUUGUACAGCACUUUGGUAAGCUAUAAUGUUGUUUUUGAAGGGCUUUAGAAAUAUAGUGAAAGUGAUAAAUACAAUGGGCAUGUCAGACGUCAGAGAACUGAGAUUAAAAAAAAAAAUCAUUAUAUUUAGGAGGCAGUUAAACCACUGCACACAGCAGCGAGUGGACCAGUUCACACAAACAAAGUUCAAAGGUGGUGUAGCAUCUUCUUGACGAUAGCUGCUUAAAGGCGAAGUGUGCUUUAAAAGCAACAGCUAACCCUCCGGCACAAACAGAUCUCGGAGCGCUAAAAUAAGCACAGCUAGCUGGCAGUAGUUAAGAACAGGAGCACAUUUCUGUCAGACAGAGGAAAUCCAAUGCAAGAAAAGACAUUUUCAUUUGCCACCGAUCUGACAUUUAUUAAACCCAACCUGAGGUGAGCUGGGUCGGAGACUUUCCUGCAGCAACAACCUGAGCCACAGGUCGAAUGUUGGAUUAACUCGCUCCUCACCAACACAAAUGGCGAAGAGGCAGGGAUUGAAGAGGGCUCCUCUUGAUAGAGCCAACAAAGGGAACCAACCAGGAGUCCACAGGGUCCACGCCAUGGCACCAGGAUUCAUGGAAAAGAUUGGUGAAUGAAGUGAAGACCAUUGGGAAGGCAAGAAAUCUAGAGUCUCAGCUUAGCGAGGUGACCUCCAAAGGUACCCUGUCUCCUGCGUCGCUUGCACGUAGAUGGUGGCAGUGGAAGGCGAAUCCAGCACAAUGGUAUUGCUUCCAGAUGAGGAGGCAGAGAAUCUUGGCUACCUUUGUUAAGCAGAGAUAAAACUUUGGGCCAUGAACCUAUUUUCAGUGUCCGGCAAUCACAAGACAGUGUGGAACUGAGAUGUUGUACAACGAGAGAGCGGUAGAUGGCGUGCCAACCACAGGUGCCAUCUUGAAUCACACCAAUAACAACAAUUUUUACAAUACAUUAAAAUGUAGGAAUGUUGACAAUUUUUUUUCUUGAGUAAAUUUCGAAUGACAACUUUUACAGAAAUUGACCGUAAAUUUGGUUCAUUUCAGCAGAAGAAAACAUGACAUACUGCAACAUCGAAACAUCACACUGUCAAAAACAACCAAUCAAGAAAUGCAGAGGGAGUGAUCCAGCGGCAGUUUACUCAAACUGGUGAGAUCACUUAUGAAGAAAUCAUGGUGAAAGAAAGCCAAAUUAAACACUUUAAACCAGAGCCAGACGUCGUCUACUCUUCACUGAUGUAGUCCACCAGUCCAACCACUGACGUCCAGCUGCUGGUCUCUAACUGGUUCCCCCAGCACCUCAGACCAGAGGACAUCCACAUGUUCAAAAGAUUACUCUAUGUGUUUUACAUAUUUUUUUCCACUUAUUUAGACUCAUAUGCUUUAAAAAUUGCAUAGGUUUAACUGGAAUUUUGUUAGUACUUAAAAUAAACAAUGAUAAUAAAGUCACUCUAUGAGUUUGACACUUUGUUCUGUUUCCCAUACCAGUGAUUUUGUUUCACUGUAGGAUUAAUAAACUUUUGUUCACA